CCUACGGGGCGCAGCAGUGAGGAAUAUUGGUCAAUGGGCGGGAGCCUGAACCAGCCAAGCCGCGUGAGGGAAGAAGGUACAGCGUAUCGUAAACCUCUUUUGUCAGGGAACAAAGGCGGGGACUAGUCACCGGAUGAGGGUAUCUGAAGAAAAAGCAUCGGCUAACUCCGUGCCAGCAGCCGCGGUAAUACGGAGGAUGCGAGCGUUAUCCGGUUUUAUUGGGUUUAAAGGGUGCGUAGGCGGGCUGAUAAGUUAGCGGUAAAAUCCCGGGGCUUAACUCCGGACUGGCGUUUGAAACUGGUGGGCUAGAGUGGAGGUGAGGUAGGCGGAAUGUGCGGGGUAGGGGUGAAAUGCUUAGAGAU
Molecule: ribosomal RNA, 362 nt
Filed under: uncultured bacterium
Lineage: Bacteria
Description: partial 16S ribosomal RNA
Rfam family: Bacterial small subunit ribosomal RNA
Source: RNAcentral